This 902-nucleotide ribosomal RNA is filed under the name uncultured organism. RNAcentral's name for it is "SSU rRNA". It matches the Rfam family "Bacterial small subunit ribosomal RNA", at positions 497 to 1398 of the family's 1533-position model. The record is from RNAcentral.
GGGAUUGUGCCAGCAGCCGCGGUAAUACGUAGGGUGCGAGCGUUGUCCGGAAUUACUGGGCGUAAAGAGCUCGUAGGUGGUUUGUCGCGUUGUUCGUGAAAUCUCACGGCUUAACUGUGAGCGUGCGGGCGAUACGGGCAGACUGGAGUWCUGCAGGGGAGACUGGAAUUCCUGGUGUAGCGGUGGAAUGCGCAGAUAUCAGGAGGAACACCGGUGGCGAAGGCGGGUCUCUGGGCAGUAACUGACGCUGAGGAGCGAAAGCUGGGGAGCGAACAGGAUUAGAUACCCUGGUAGUCCACGCCGUAAACGGUGGGUACUAGGUGUGGGUUUCCUUCCUUGGGAUCCGUGCCGUAGCUAACGCAUUAAGUACCCCGCCUGGGGAGUACGGCCGCAAGGCUAAAAACUCAAAGGAAUUGACGGGGGCCCGCACAAGCGGCGGAGCAUGUGGAUUAAUUCGAUGCAACGCGAAGAACCUUACCUGGGUUUGACAUGCACAGGACGCCGGCAGAGAUGUCGGUUCCCUUGUGGCCUGUGUGCAGGUGGUGCAUGGCUGUCGUCAGCUCGUGUCGUGAGAUGUUGGGUUAAGUCCCGCAACGAGCGCAACCCUUGUCUCAUGUUGCCAGCGGGUAAUGCCGGGGACUCGUGAGAGACUGCCGGGGUCAACUCGGAGGAAGGUGGGGAUGACGUCAAGUCAUCAUGCCCCUUAUGUCCAGGGCUUCACACAUGCUACAAUGGCCGGUACAAAGGGCUGCGAUGCCGCGAGGUUAAGCGAAUCCUUUUAAAGCCGGUCUCAGUUCGGAUCGGGGUCUGCAACUCGACCCCGUGAAGUCGGAGUCGCUAGUAAUCGCAGAUCAGCAACGCUGCGGUGAAUACGUUCCCGGGCCUUGCACACACCGCCCGUC